GUUGCCCCUCCAGGCGUUGCAAGCACGGCUGCUGUGCGGUGCUUGUGUCACGAGGAGGCAGAGAGGAACUGGCUGUGUCUACGCUCAGUGCCCGACAUGUGGGCACUUNGAAUGAUUAGCAGCCUAACAGGA
This is a small nucleolar RNA of Salvator merianae (Argentine black and white tegu), 132 nucleotides long. The record is from Ensembl. Lineage: Eukaryota; Metazoa; Chordata; Lepidosauria; Squamata; Teiidae.